Molecule: long non-coding RNA, 424 nt
Filed under: Homo sapiens (human)
Lineage: Eukaryota; Metazoa; Chordata; Mammalia; Primates; Hominidae
Description: non-protein coding lnc-NME7-2:3
Source: RNAcentral
GGACCUGCUGAUCCUGAAAUUGCCCGGCAUUUACGCCCUGGAACUCUCAGAGCAAUCUUUGGUAAAACUAAGAUCCAGAAUGCUGUUCACUGUACUGAUCUGCCAGAGGAUGGCCUAUUAGAGGUAAGAUAAAGAAGGUUCAAUACUUCUUCAAGAUCUUGGAUAAUUAGUGGUGUGGAAAGUAAAGAAGUCACAGGUUGGGACAUUUAGACAAGAGUGAAUCACACACGAGGAAUGUGUUCAUUCUUUUAUUGUCCGUUGUUUUAACCUGACUGAAUACAAGAUCAACAAGAGCACUGUACUCCUGGCAAUUAUUACAUAUGUUAGAACAUGGAUUUUGCACUGUAGACAACAUUUAACACCAGUCUAUGGGGUACUGCAUUGCUUUUUAUAAAGUUCAAAAUAAAGAUUUAUUUUCAAACAA